Molecule: ribosomal RNA, 301 nt
Filed under: uncultured bacterium
Lineage: Bacteria
Description: partial 16S ribosomal RNA
Rfam family: Bacterial small subunit ribosomal RNA
Source: RNAcentral
CAGCAGCCGCGGUAACACAGAGGGUGCGAGCGUUAAUCGGAUUUACUGGGCGUAAAGCGUGCGUAGGCGGCUUCUUAAGUCGGAUGUGAAAUCCCUGAGCUUAACUUAGGAAUUGCAUUCGAUACUGGGAAGCUAGAGUAUGGGAGAGGAUGGUAGAAUUCCUGGUGUAGCGGUGAAAUGCGUAGAGAUCUGGAGGAAUACCGAUGGCGAAGGCAGCCAUCUGGCCUAAUACUGACGCUGAGGUACGAAAGCAUGGGGAGCAAACAGGAUUAGAUACCCCGGUAGUCCCUGUCUCUUAUAC